RNAcentral lists this ribosomal RNA (464 nucleotides) under uncultured bacterium. RNAcentral's name for it is "partial 16S ribosomal RNA". It matches the Rfam family "Bacterial small subunit ribosomal RNA", at positions 339 to 795 of the family's 1533-position model. The record is from RNAcentral.
CUACGGGGUGCAGCAGUAGGGAAUAUUGCGCAAUGGACGAAAGUCUGACGCAGCAACGCCGCGUGGGUGAUGAAGCAUCUUGGUGUGUAAAACCCUGUCAGUGGAGAAGAAACGCAUGGGUAGUAACUGACCUGUGCCUGACGGUACCCACAGAGGAAGUCCCGGCUAACUCCGUGCCAGCAGCCGCGGUAAUACGGGGGGGACAAACGUUGUUCGGAUUUACUGGGCGUAAAGGGCGCGUAGGCGGACUUUCAAGUCGGGUGUGAAAAUUAUCGGCUUAACUGAUAACUUGCACUCGAUACUGUUGGUCUUGAGUUUAUUAGAGGAAAGCGGAAUUCCAGGUGUAGCGGUGGAAUGCGUAGAUAUCUGGAAGAACACCAGUAGCGAAGGCGGCUUUCUGGGAUACAACUGACGCUGAAGCGCGAAGGCUAGGGGAGCAAACAGGAUUAGAUACCCUGGUAGUC